UCAAUUUUAUAGGAGAAAGGAGGGAGCAUUAGCAUUUUGCUCCCGUUCGGGAAGCUGGUGAAAAUCCAGCACGGUCCCGCCACUGUAAAGGGAGAAGUUUCUUCCCUGAGUCAGAUACCGGCCUUUCUUAACGACACCGC
Molecule: non-coding RNA, 140 nt
Filed under: Marininema halotolerans
Lineage: Bacteria; Bacillati; Bacillota; Bacilli; Caryophanales; Thermoactinomycetaceae
Source: RNAcentral